Molecule: ribosomal RNA, 459 nt
Filed under: uncultured bacterium
Lineage: Bacteria
Description: partial 16S ribosomal RNA
Rfam family: Bacterial small subunit ribosomal RNA
Source: RNAcentral
CCUACGGGAGGCAGCAGUGAGGAAUAUUGGUCAAUGGCCGAAAGGCUGAACCAGCCAAGCCGCGUGAAGGACGAAGGUGCCAAGCAUUGUAAACUUCUUUUGUCAAGGGACAAAAUCAGGCUCGCGAGCCUGACCGAGGUUACUUGCAGAAAAAGCAUCGGCUAACUCCGUGCCCGCAGCCGCGGUAAUACGGGGGAGGCGAGCGUUAUCCGGAUUUAUUGGGCUUAAAGUGUGCGUAGGCGGGCUAUUAAGUCAGCGGUAAACGCCCGGGGCUCAACCCCGGCGAGCCGUUGAAACUGGCUGUCGUGAGAGGGCGAGAGGUAGGCGGAAUGCGCAGUGUAGCGGUGAAAUGCGUAGAUAGUGCGCAGAACUCCGAUGGCGAAGGCAGCAUACCGGCGGCGAUCUGACGCUGAGGCACGAAAGCGUGGGUAUCGAACAGGAUGAGAUACCCCGGUAGUC